RNA transcript from Magnolia sinica, 1755 nucleotides. It is a transcript of the gene named phosphatidylinositol/phosphatidylcholine transfer protein SFH3-like, with no coding region annotated. The transcript is spliced from 6 exons. Lineage: Eukaryota; Viridiplantae; Streptophyta; Magnoliopsida; Magnoliales; Magnoliaceae. The record is from RefSeq and is a predicted model, not a curated record.
CAUUACUUGAUAUCCCAUGCUUGCUUAAGAACUGCAGCCAUGUGCCUCAAAUAUCAGGGAAAAACACUUUUAUGAAUUGUGUCUUGCCCAUCAAAAUGCAGACUUAACGAUCAGAUGGAAUUGCAUUUGUUUUAAUUGUCUUCAACAGUUCUCCUGAAGUAGCGCGAGAUUAUUACUUUUUAUGAAUCUUCUCUCGUGAUGUUCUUCUAAAAAAAUGCUCAAGCAUUGGACCGUCUUUCUUCUUCUCAGUGAAAUACACUGGCAAACUUGAAGAUGGAACAGUUUUUGAGAGGAAAGGAAUUGAUGAAGAGCCUCUAGAGUUCAUGUGUUUUGUAGAUUCUGGAGCCAUGCCAAAGUAAUCUUGCUUAUCAGCCCAAUAUGCUGAAGAAGAAAGCAUGGUCAAGUCGUGAAAAGAAUAUCUCAGAGGCUAUUCAUGGGGUUGGAAGAAAAGGUACGGCAGCAGUGCCAAGGAAGCCUCUAUAUCCAAGUAUUGGUGGUAGGGGUGCUGCUUCUGGUAAUAUUGAUCAGAGAGCAAAAGGACAUCUAGACGGAAUGGAGAGCUGUGGGAUGGCCACUAUGUCUGAUGAAACUCGAGAAGCUCUUCCUAAGGCACUUCUGGAACUUUUUCAUGUUCAUAAAGUUUGCAGGUGAUGCUUAUACUUCUUUCUAUUUUCACUUAUUUGAUCUCCUUCAGCAGCUAGAGCAUAUUUUCAGUUUCGGUACUUACAAGCUGAUAAGCAGUCAAUCAACCUGUCAUUCCUAUGGAUUUUAUUUGUGCAUCUGUUUGUGUUCCAUAUUUUACAUAUUAUAUGGGGAACCUAUUUGUAAACCACCAACUCAUUUAAAGAAAAGACAGUUCAUCCAGAGACUUGGAACCCAAUGUGGUCUGUGGCAAGGUAAGGUGAAACUAAGUUUCAGUUAUGUUGCUGGAAUGCUGUUUGUUUGGAUUUUGGUAAUUGGUUUAACUGCUUUCACAUGCUGACAUGUUUAAGUUGUGGAUGUGCAGCAUACUUGCAGGCCUUCUGUCGUUCAUGGUAAGUUCAUCAAUCUUCUUCUCUUUUAUCCUUUUUUUUUUUCAUGGUUCAUUCUGGAAGCCCCUGUUGCUGUUAGCAAACACAAGUGGAAGGAGAAAUGCACCAAGUUUCAUCAUUCAAAGGGAAGGAGAAAUGCUGAAAAUUGGCCUUCUUUAUGGAGAGUUCAAUUCCAGCUCAAGUAAUAGGUUUCUUCAACCUGCAUAUGAUGUGCAACAUUUAUUGCUACCUCAGAGUAGACUGCCUUAGAAAUGCCGUUGCUACUCGUUCUAGCCACUUACGUGAGCUUACAAAUGAUUAGUUUGAUUCAAAUUGGGAAAUUGCAAAUCAGUACUACAAAAGCAUGGCAAUGGUGCAGCAGCUACAUCAGAUUCAUCUGAAUUUCCACAAAGAUUUGGAUAUAGAACAAGUAAGCUUUUGGCAUUGCAGAUCGCUGGAUAUAGGCCAACUGAUCAGCUUCUUUCCUCAACCAUCUGAUUAUAAUACUGUGGGAUCAGCGAUUUGUUGCUUAUGGCUGUGCUGAGCACCUGAAGAAAUUGAAGAAACAUGCAUCUUCAUUAAAAGAAUUAGACUAAGGCAGUGAAACAAGUGUUCUGGCACAUAAAUGUAUGUGGCUACAAAAGGUACACUUUUGCCUUGAAAUUUCUUGGCAAAUUUGGGACUUUUGUAUUGUGUUGUACCAUUCAAAUUUGAGAUGCUGAUGGUUUUGUUGUUCUUACUACUU